Molecule: ribosomal RNA, 474 nt
Filed under: uncultured bacterium
Lineage: Bacteria
Description: partial 16S ribosomal RNA
Rfam family: Bacterial small subunit ribosomal RNA
Source: RNAcentral
GACGAACGCUGGCGGCGUGCUUAACACAUGCAAGUCGAACGGUAAGGCCCUUCGGGGUACACGAGUGGCGAACGGGUGAGUAACACGUGGGUGAUCUGCCCUGCACUUCGGGAUAAGCCUGGGAAACUGGGUCUAAUACCGGAUAGGACCACUGCCUGCAUGGGUGGUGGUGGAAAGCUUUUGCGGUGUGGGAGAGCCUCGCGGCCUAUCAGCUUGUUGGUGGGGUAACGGCCCACCAAGGCAUCGACGGGUAGCUGGUCUGAGAGGACGAUCAGCCACACUGGGACUGAGACACGGCCCAGACUCCUACGGGAGGCAGCAGUGGGGAAUCUUGCGCAAUGGGCGAAAGCCUGACGCAGCAACGCCGCGUGCGGGAUGAAGGCCCUCGGGUUGUAAACCGCUUUCAGUGGGGACGAACCAAGACGGUACCCACAGAAGAAGGUCCGGCCAACUACGUGCCAGCCGCCGCCGUAA